Molecule: small RNA, 27 nt
Filed under: Bombyx mori (domestic silkworm)
Lineage: Eukaryota; Metazoa; Arthropoda; Insecta; Lepidoptera; Bombycidae
Description: piRNA piR-bmo-1340005
Source: RNAcentral
UGGAAGAUUGCGUUUGACUCACAGAGA